UUUUACAAUGGAGAGUUUGAUCCUGGCUCAGGAUGAACGCUAGCUACAGGCUUAACACAUGCAAGUCGAGGGGAAACGACAUUGAAGCUUGCUUCGAUGGGCGUCGACC
Molecule: ribosomal RNA, 109 nt
Filed under: Segatella salivae
Lineage: Bacteria; Pseudomonadati; Bacteroidota; Bacteroidia; Bacteroidales; Prevotellaceae
Description: partial 16S ribosomal RNA
Rfam family: Bacterial small subunit ribosomal RNA
Source: RNAcentral